UGAUUCAAUUUAAUUUUUUUCUUAUACAUUUUUAUCUAUAACUAUUUAGGCUCUAAUGUAAACCCUUAACAUUAUUCUUAGAGUGUGUUGGGUUCGAAGUCGGAAUCGGUAUCGGAGUAGGAAUGAGAAUAAGCUGAAAAUGGAAUCGGAAUGAUUUAUUAUCUCAUUCUGUUUGGUUCGCCACCUGAAUCGAAAUCGGAAUGAACCGUUCUCAUAGACGGUGUUUGGUUUAAAUAGAUAUCUCAUAAACGUAAUCAAAUUAAUAUAUCAAUUUUAUCUUUAUAAUAUAUUAGUUUAAAUUCAAACUAAAAAUUAAAUGUUAAAAAUUUACGUCAAAGUUUUAAAAUAAUGUCAAAAUUUUAAAUAUAUUUUUUUUAAAAUUAAAAUUUGAAAUUGAAUAGAUAAUUCAAAAUAUAAAACUAAAUUUUGAUUUAUUCAAAUUUACACAUAAAAUUAUAAUUUAAAUUUCAAUUUGAAUCCAUAAAUUUAAUUUAAAUUUUAAAUAAAAUUUGAAUACAACUUUAGAUUUUUAAAUUAAAUUUAAAUUUAAAUUUAUAAAUUAGAUUAGAAAUACUUGAUUGAAUUUUAAUUUUUAAUUUAAGUUCAAAUUAAAAUUAAAAUUUAUAAAUAUAAGUUUUAAACGUAAACUUAUGUUUUAAUUAAAAAGAAAGUUUAAAAAAUUAAAUUUAAUCCGAAUAAAUUUAUUUCGUCCGGAUUUAAUUUUCAAUCCAGAUUGAACAGAAGGGUAAUUGAGGGGAUUCUUAUUCACCUGGGAAUCGAAAUCGAAAUGAAAAUUUCGCAUAUCAAAUACGGACAAACAGAUUCGUCCAUUUCAAUUCCAAUUCCAAAGUGAAAAAGUAGCGAACCAAACACGUUCCGUCUGAAAUGACAGCAAAUUAUGUUACAUAAAGUAAAAAUAUAUGAGAAAUUUGAACCAGAACAUAUUAGUUCAAUAAAAAUAUUUUUUCUAAAA
This 973-nucleotide long non-coding RNA is filed under the name Ananas comosus (pineapple). RNAcentral's name for it is "long non-coding RNA (ACOM_LNC001567)". Lineage: Eukaryota; Viridiplantae; Streptophyta; Magnoliopsida; Poales; Bromeliaceae. The record is from RNAcentral.